Molecule: ribosomal RNA, 1157 nt
Filed under: Salmonella enterica
Lineage: Bacteria; Pseudomonadati; Pseudomonadota; Gammaproteobacteria; Enterobacterales; Enterobacteriaceae
Also listed under: 2 other names
Description: partial 23S ribosomal RNA
Rfam family: Bacterial large subunit ribosomal RNA
Source: RNAcentral
GGGUUGUGAGGUUAAGCGACUAAGCGUACACGGUGGAUGCCCUGGCAGUCAGAGGCGAUGAAGGGCGUGCUAAUCUGCGAUAAGCGCCGGUAAGGUGAUAUGAACCGUUAUAACCGGCGAUACCCGAAUGGGGAAACCCAGUGUGAUUCGUCACACUAUCAUUAACUGAAUCCAUAGGUUAAUGAGGCGAACCGGGGGAACUGAAACAUCUAAGUACCCCGAGGAAAAGAAAUCAACCGAGAUUCCCCCAGUAGCGGCGAGCGAACGGGGAGGAGCCCAGAGCCUGAAUCAGCAUGUGUGUUAGUGGAAGCGUCUGGAAAGGCGCGCGAUACAGGGUGACAGCCCCGUACACAAAAGCGCAUGUGCUGUGAGCUCGAUGAGUAGGGCGGGACACGUGGUAUCCUGUCUGAAUAUGGGGGGACCAUCCUCCAAGGCUAAAUACUCCUGACUGACCGAUAGUGAACCAGUACCGUGAGGGAAAGGCGAAAAGAACCCCGGCGAGGGGAGUGAAAAAGAACCUGAAACCGUGUACGUACAAGCAGUGGGAGCACCCUUUGGGUGUGACUGCGUACCUUUUGUAUAAUGGGUCAGCGACUUAUAUUCUGUAGCAAGGUUAACCGAAUAGGGGAGCCGGAGGGAAACCGAGUCUUAACCGGGCGUUAAGUUGCAGGGUAUAGACCCGAAACCCGGUGAUCUAGCCAUGGGCAGGUUGAAGGUUGGGUAACACUAACUGGAGGACCGAACCGACUAAUGUUGAAAAAUUAGCGGAUGACCUGUGGCUGGGGGUGAAAGGCCAAUCAAACCGGGAGAUAGCUGGUUCUCCCCGAAAGCUAUUUAGGUAGCGCCUCGUGAAUUCAUCUCCGGGGGUAGAGCACUGUUUCGGCUAGGGGGCCAUCCCGGCUUACCAACCCGAUGCAAACUGCGAAUACCGGAGAAUGUUAUCACGGGAGACACACGGCGGGUGCUAACGUCCGUCGUGAAGAGGGAAACAACCCAGACCGCCAGCUAAGGUCCCAAAGUCAUGGUUAAGUGGGAAACGAUGUGGGAAGGCCCAGACAGCCAGGAUGUUGGCUUAGAAGCAGCCAUCAUUUAAAGAAAGCGUAAUAGCUCACUGGUCGAGUCGGCCUGCGCGGAAGAUGUAACGGGGCUAAACCAUG